AUGGGCGACUGUUUGCCAGCCCAAGGAGGCCUUGGGAUUACCAACACCAGACUCCUAAAUAUCGCACUCAUGUGCAAAUGGAUCUGGAAACUGUCGCAAGGGGCGACCGGUUUGUCGGCGGACCUCCUUCGUGCCAAAUACUUCCCCAAUGGGAAUUUUUUUGAAGGGGCCGCGAGGGGAUCACCUUUCGGGAAUGAUAUCCAAUCUAUUAAACCGGCCUUUGCCAUGGGGGCAAAGUUUGCCGUCGGCAACGGUUGUUCAACUCGGUUCUGGUUAGAUUGUUGGAUGGGCUCACAACCACUCUGGCAAGAAUAUCAGGACCUAUACGCCAUAGCCGUAAACCCGAGCCAGAUGGUGGCGGAUGCGCUGGCCUCUUCCCCUCCGACUGUUAACUUCCGUCGUGAGCUCAAUAACCAAGAGAGGGCGAAUCUCGCGGUUAUGCUCGACUCUGUGAGCUCAUACGCGCUGUCCACCGGACCGGAUUCCGUUUCGUGGUCCCUUACUGGAUCCGGCAAAUUCACGGUCAAGUCCUUAUACUACAAACUGUGCCAAGGGCCGAGACAGUUGGUGGCUAGGGGCCUUUGGAAGGCGCGUAUCCCUCUCAAAGUCAAAGUUUUCCUUUGGCAAAUGUUCCGCAAUAGAUUACCAACGUCUGUGAAUGUGGCUAAACGUCACGACCCGGUUUCGGCCCAUGCGCUCUUUGUGGUUCACCCGAGGAUGCCAACCAUGUAUUCUUCAACUGCCCCCUAG
RNAcentral lists this ribosomal RNA (750 nucleotides) under Triticum aestivum (bread wheat). RNAcentral describes it as "partial small subunit ribosomal RNA". Lineage: Eukaryota; Viridiplantae; Streptophyta; Magnoliopsida; Poales; Poaceae. The record is from RNAcentral.